RNAcentral lists this unclassified non-coding RNA (331 nucleotides) under soil metagenome. Its description in RNAcentral is "partial contains 5.8S ribosomal RNA, internal transcribed spacer 2, and large subunit ribosomal RNA". The stretch from base 1 to 120 matches the Rfam family "5.8S ribosomal RNA", at positions 35 to 154 of the family's 154-position model. The record is from RNAcentral.
GAUGAAGAACGUAGUGAAAUGCGAUACGUAAUGUGAAUUGCAGAAUUCAGUGAAUCAUCGAAUCUUUGAACGCACAUUGCGCCCCCUGGUAUUCCGGGGGGCAUGCCUGUUCGAGCGUCAUUUCACCACUCAAGCCUCGCUUGGUAUUGGGCAUCGCGGUCCGCCGCGCGCCUCAAAUCGACCGGCUGGGUCUUCUGUCCCCUAAGCGUUGUGGAAACUAUUCGCUAAAGGGUGUUCGGGAGGCUACGCCGUAAAACAACCCCAUUUCUAAGGUUGACCUCGGAUCAGGUAGGGAUACCCGCUGAACUUAAGCAUAUCAAUAAGCGGAGGA